Molecule: ribosomal RNA, 324 nt
Filed under: uncultured eukaryote
Lineage: Eukaryota
Description: partial 18S ribosomal RNA
Rfam family: Eukaryotic small subunit ribosomal RNA
Source: RNAcentral
CCCUUAGAUGUUCUGGGCCGCACGCGCGCUACACUGAUGCAUUCAACGAGUUUCUUCCUGGUCCGAGAGGAAUGGGUAACCUUUUGAAAGUGCAUCGUGAUAGGGAUAGACUAUUGCAAUUAUUGGUCUUCAACGAGGAAUUCCUAGUCGACGUAGUUCAUCAGACUGCAUCGAUUACGUCCCUGCCCUUUGUACACACCGCCCGUCGCUCCUACCGAUUGAAUGCUCAGGUGAGCCAUUCGGACUUUCAUCAUGCUGGUUUCCAGUUUUGAUGAAGGAAAGUCUUGCGAACCUUAUCAUUUAGAGGAAGGAGAAGUCGUAACA